AUUGAACGCUGGCGGCAUGCUUUACACAUGCAAGUCGAACGGCAGCGCGGGCUUCGGCCUGGCGGCGAGUGGCGAACGGGUGAGUAAUACAUCGGAACGUGCCCAGUAGUGGGGGAUAGCCCGGCGAAAGCCGGAUUAAUACCGCAUACGACCUGAGGGUGAAAGCGGGGGAUCUUCGGACCUCGCGCUAUUGGAGCGGCCGAUGGCAGAUUAGCUAGUUGGUGGGGUAAAGGCCUACCAAGGCGACGAUCUGUAGCUGGUCUGAGAGGACGACCAGCCACACUGGGACUGAGACACGGCCCAGACUCCUACGGGAGGCAGCAGUGGGGAAUUUUGGACAAUGGGCGAAAGCCUGAUCCAGCAAUGCCGCGUGUGUGAUGAAGGCCUUCGGGUUGUAAAGCACUUUUGGCGGGAACGAAAAGGACUGUGCCAAUACCGCGGUUCGAUGACGGUACCCGCAGAAUAAGCACCGGCUAACUACGUG
Molecule: ribosomal RNA, 484 nt
Filed under: uncultured bacterium
Lineage: Bacteria
Description: partial 16S ribosomal RNA
Rfam family: Bacterial small subunit ribosomal RNA
Source: RNAcentral